ACGCUGGCGGCGUGCCUAAUACAUGCAAGUAGAACGCUGAAGGAGGAGCUUGCUUCUCUGGAUGAGUUGCGAACGGGUGAGUAACGCGUAGGUAACCUGCCUGGUAGCGGGGGAUAACUAUUGGAAACGAUAGCUAAUACCGCAUAAUAGCAGUUGUUGCAUGACAACUGUUUGAAAGGUGCAAUUGCGCCACUACCAGAUGGACCUGCGUUGUAUUAGCUAGUUGGUGGGGUAACGGCUCACCAAGGCGACGAUACAUAGCCGACCUGAGAGGGUGAUCGGCCACACUGGGACUGAGACACGGCCCAGACUCCUACGGGAGGCAGCAGUAGAGAAUCUUCGGCAAUGGACGGAAGUCUGACCGAGCAACGCCGCGUGAGUGAAGAAGGUUUUCGGAUCGUAAAGCUCUGUUGUAAGAGAAGAACGAGUGUGAGAGUGGAAAGUUCACACUGUGACGGUAUCUUACCAGAAAGGGACGGCUAACUACGUGCCAGCAGCCGCGGUAAUACGUAGGUCCCGAGCGUUGUCCGGAUUUAUUGGGCGUAAAGCGAGUGCAGGCGGUUAGAUAAGUCUGAAGUUAAAGGCUGUGGCUUAACCAUAGUACGCUUUGGAAACUGUUUAACUUGAGUGCAAGAGGGGAGAGUGGAAUUCCAUGUGUAGCGGUGAAAUGCGUAGAUAUAUGGAGGAACACCGGUGGCGAAAGCGGCUCUCUGGCUUGUAACUGACGCUGAGGCUCGAAAGCGUGUGGAGCAAACAGGAUUAGAUACCCUGGUAGUCCACGCCGUAAACGAUGAGUGCUAGGUGUUAGACCCUUUCCGGGGUUUAGUGCCGUAGCUAACGCAUUAAGCACUCCGCCUGGGGAGUACGACCGCAAGGUUGAAACUCAAAGGAAUUGACGGGGGCCCGCAC
Molecule: ribosomal RNA, 909 nt
Filed under: uncultured bacterium
Lineage: Bacteria
Description: bacterial SSU rRNA
Rfam family: Bacterial small subunit ribosomal RNA
Source: RNAcentral